GGGGGUGACUGGUUUCGACUCCGAGUGGUUCAUCAGGAGAAGCGUGCCGAGGAAGGCGACGAUGAUCUCGUUAACCAUGCGUCGCAACGCAAUAAGCGCCGACUCUAGUCAGCGCGACUUCGCUCUGGCUGCCUGACAGCCAGAGGUGAGGUCUGUCGGCCCGGGUUCGUCACCGACCCGGUCGCCGGCAUCGACUAGGUGACUCACCGCCGGGCCCGGUCGCGGGGCCCGUCGGGACAUCGCACAGCGACUGGGAUCGUCACACCGGCCCGUCCGCAGGACCGGUGGAUCCGAGCAGAGACGAGGCGGACUGCGCACGGAGAAGUCCUGAUUGCUGAUCGGAGGACCCGGGUUCGAUUCCCGGCACCUCCACCG
RNAcentral lists this transfer-messenger RNA (375 nucleotides) under Actinomycetospora cinnamomea. RNAcentral's name for it is "Standard tmRNA". It matches the Rfam family "transfer-messenger RNA". Rfam says of the family: Bacterial tmRNA, also known as 10Sa RNA or SsrA, is named for its dual tRNA and mRNA-like properties. Its role is to liberate the mRNA from a stalled ribosome. To accomplish this part of the tmRNA is used as a reading frame that ends in a translation stop signal. Lineage: Bacteria; Bacillati; Actinomycetota; Actinomycetes; Pseudonocardiales; Pseudonocardiaceae. The record is from Rfam by way of RNAcentral.